RNAcentral lists this long non-coding RNA (438 nucleotides) under Vitis vinifera (wine grape). Its description in RNAcentral is "long non-coding RNA (VVIN_LNC004557)". The record is from RNAcentral. Lineage: Eukaryota; Viridiplantae; Streptophyta; Magnoliopsida; Vitales; Vitaceae.
CUGCAUGUUCACCAAACAACCACUUGUCACUAAUUGAACAACUCUUUACCAAUGCACCACAAACGGGCAUUCUUGACCUUUGUUUGGUUGCUGAGAAAAUGUAUCCAUCACCCGGAAAUCAAUGAAAAUUUUUGAAAGAUUAAAUCGUGAGAAUCAUUGGCGCUUCUUGUGCUUGAAACCAAAAAAAAAAUGAAGGUAGCUUGGUUUCAUAAUCAUUUCGUUGGGUUUUUUGUUCCCCUUUUUCUCAGCAACCAAACAGAGAGGUUUAAGUAAGAAAGAACAGAAAACAGGUUCUAGGAAAUAUUUAGACUUUUAACAACAAAAACAUUUCUUGGAAAACGCUUUACCAGAGAAAUGGUUUGAACUCUCCGGCAUCUUCAAACCAAAAUCAAAACAAAAACUCCAAAAUCUCAAAAACGAAAAGAAUAACCAACUGAA